UACGAAGGGGGCUAGCGUUGCUCGGAAUUACUGGGCGUAAAGCGCACGUAGGCGGAUUGUUAAGUCGGGGUGAAAUCCUGGAGCUCAACUCCAGAACUGCCUUCGAUACUGGCGAUCUCGAGUCCGGGAGAGGUGAGUGGAACUGCGAGUGUAGAGGUGAAAUUCGUAGAUAGUUCGCAAGAACACCAGUGGCGAAGGCG
RNAcentral lists this ribosomal RNA (200 nucleotides) under uncultured bacterium. RNAcentral's name for it is "partial 16S ribosomal RNA". It matches the Rfam family "Bacterial small subunit ribosomal RNA", at positions 524 to 723 of the family's 1533-position model. The record is from RNAcentral.